UUAUACAUGAGGUCCAGGUGGCCAAGACGAAAUCCUGGAAUUGUGGACAGCUCUUCCAAUGAUCUGAGUCCAAGCAGAGCCAAGAAAAGCACUGUCCUGCAGAUAGCAGCUUCUAGACCAGAAGAACAUUUGGAUGAAUGAAAUGUUGAAGAAGAAAGACAGCUGGAAGAAAGACAGCAAAUAGUCUUCAUGGCAGGUUUCUCUCUUAAUUUCAGUGGCCAUUCAGGAAUUUGAAGCAAGACUGCAGCAGCUUAAAUCACAGGUUGGGAUUCAUGCCUAGAACUUGAAUGGAAGAGUGACAGAAAAUAGGGAUAUUUAAGAAGUUCUUUUCUUCCUCCAAAAAAAUAUGAGAGUAUCCUCCAGUCAAUUGUAAUGAGGGGGUUGGCAAAACAUAUCCAUUUAAAGAGCAGAAAGCUCUUCUCACCUCAGCUAGUCACGCACAUUGCUUAUGGACCAGAAGGAUAGACGGACAAAUGAGGAAAUGUCUGAAAGAUCAAAAGGAAACAGAAAAUCUGGAGGACAAGUUUCUGACUUAAAGAGCCUCGUUGGACUUAGAAAUGUAUUGGCACAUUCUGGGGCAGCCUACUCCAUUGCUGACAGUGUGCUCUGUGUUAUCUUCAUUGCUCAACUGCAGGCAGGACAGAUCAUUAUGUUUGAAAAUGCAGAAGUGAUUACAUAGAGCAGUCUCUUUUCCUUUCCCCUCCAUGUUCCUCAAGAGUGCAGAAUUUAUUACCCCACAUUAAUUUUGCCUCUAUUCAACAUGAAAAUGUAGUGACAACUACAAACCGUGCUAAUCAAUGAUGUACUGAUGACAAAAUAACACUCAUGAAAUACAACUCAAAAAACCCAGUAUGCUGUUGCUUACUCUAUCCAGGUUUGAACGUAACUAGGAAAUGGUUUGGAGUUUAUGCACUUCAUAUACAUAACGGUUUCAGAAUCACAGAUCCUAAAUUGCCCACAUCACAGCCUUCUCAGCCACCAAUGAAGCAGCUUGAUCAUUAAAAACAACAUUCACAACAGAAACAGGCAUUCCUAAAUUACCAUCCUAAUGUCAUCCAAUCCACUCAUGACGUUCUAGCAUGAAGCAUCUUGCUAGAAUAAUCUGCCAGUCUUUGGCUAAUGUCAGAGCUACACAAAUAUUUGCAAAUAUUUCACAUUUUAAAGUACAGCCUCAACUGAUCAUUUUUUAGACAGAUGGCUGAUUUUUUGCAAUAUAUUUUGGGUAGAAAUAAACCCAUAAGCUUUUUUAGAAACAAACCUGUUUCUGAACAAACCAAUUUCUAAUUUUUUAGAACCAAGCAGGCUACAUUUCUGUCUUAUAUUACGUUAUAUUGAUUUCAAUUUUCAUUAAAUAAAAUAACUUGCACUUUCAA
Molecule: long non-coding RNA, 1373 nt
Organism: Alligator mississippiensis (American alligator)
Lineage: Eukaryota; Metazoa; Chordata; Crocodylia; Alligatoridae
Exons: 4
Source: RefSeq, a predicted model, not a curated record